UGUGUGUGUGUGUGUGUGCAUAUAUGUGUAACUGUGAAAGCGUGUAUAAUUGUAAAUUGGGUGACGAGUAUAUAUAAUUUGUGGGGAUAUCAAUGCAUGUUUGUGUAGCUAUAUGUUUGCAGAUAACACGAAAUUUCGAAAUCCAACA
This is a long non-coding RNA of Octopus sinensis (East Asian common octopus), 148 nucleotides long. RefSeq lists it as uncharacterized. NCBI's taxonomy places the organism in Eukaryota, Metazoa, Mollusca, Cephalopoda, Octopoda, Octopodidae. The record is from RefSeq and is a predicted model, not a curated record. The transcript is spliced from 3 exons.